Molecule: ribosomal RNA, 799 nt
Filed under: uncultured bacterium
Lineage: Bacteria
Description: bacterial SSU rRNA
Rfam family: Bacterial small subunit ribosomal RNA
Source: RNAcentral
AACGCUGGCGGCGUGCUUAACACAUGCAAGUCGAACGCAGAAAGCCUUUCGGGGUGAGUAUGAGUGGCGGACGGGUGAGUAACGCGUGAGAAUCUGCCUUCAGGAGGGGGACAACAGUUGGAAACGACUGCUAAUACCCCAUAUGCCUACGGGUGAAACAUUUAUGGCCUGAAGAUGAGCUCGCGUCGGAUUAGCUAGUUGGUGAGGUAAGAGCUUACCAAGGCGACGAUCCGUAGCUGGUCUGAGAGGAUGAUCAGCCACACUGGGACUGAGACACGGCCCAGACUCCUACGGGAGGCAGCAGUGGGGAAUUUUCCGCAAUGGGCGAAAGCCUGACGGAGCAACGCCGCGUGCGGGAGGACGGCCUGUGGGUUGUAAACCGCUUUUCUCAGGGAAGAAGAUCUGACGGUACCUGAGGAAUCAGCAUCGGCUAACUCCGUGCCAGCAGCCGCGGUAAUACGGAGGAUGCAAGCGUUAUCCGGAAUUAUUGGGCGUAAAGCGUCCGCAGGCGGUUCAUCAAGUCUGCUGUUAAAGGCCGAGGCUUAACUUCGGUUGAGCAGUGGAAACUGAUGGACUAGAGUGCGAUAGGGGUAGAGGGAAUUCCCAGUGUAGCGGUGAAAUGCGUAGAUAUUGGGAAGAACACCAGUGGCGAAGGCGCUCUACUGGGUCGCAACUGACGCUGAGGGACGAAAGCUAGGGGAGCGAAAGGGAUUAGAUACCCCUGUAGUCCUAGCCGUAAACGAUGGAUACUAGGUGUUGGCCGUAUCGACCCGGUCAGUACCGUAGCUAACGCGUUAAG